RNAcentral lists this ribosomal RNA (254 nucleotides) under uncultured bacterium. RNAcentral's name for it is "partial 16S ribosomal RNA". It matches the Rfam family "Bacterial small subunit ribosomal RNA", at positions 524 to 776 of the family's 1533-position model. The record is from RNAcentral.
GACAGAGGGUGCAAACGUUGUUCGGAAUUACUGGGCGUAAAGCGUGUGUAGGCGGUCUUGUAAGUCGGAUGUGAAAUCUCCAGGCUCAACCUGGAGCGGCCAUUCGAUACUUCUAUGACUAGGGUCCAGUAGGGGAGUGUGGAAUUCCCGGUGUAGCGGUGAAAUGCGUAGAUAUCUGGAGGAAUACCGGUGGCGAAGGCGGCAUCCCGGACCGACAUUGACGCUGAGGAGCGAAAGCUAGGGGAGCAAACGGG